ACNUUACCAAGGCUUGACAUAUAGGGNAAAAGUGGCAGAGAUGUCAUNUCCGCAAGGGCCCUAUACAGGUGGUGCAUGGUUGUCGUCAGCUCGUGUCGUGAGAUGUUGGGUUAAGUCCCGCAACGAGCGCAACCCUCGUUCUGUGUUGCCAGCAUUUAGUUGGGGACUCACAGGAGACUGCCGGGGUUAACUCGGAGGAAGGUGGGGAUGACGUCAAAUCAUCAUGCCCCUUAUGUCUUGGGCUGCACGCAUGCUACAAUGGCCGGUACAGAGGGCUGCAAUACCGUAAGGUGGAGCGAAUCCCAAAAAGCCGGUCUCAGUUCGGAUUGAGGUCUGCAACUCGACCUCAUGAAGUUGGAGUUGCUAGUAAUCGUAGAUCAGCAUCGNUACGGUGAAUACGUUCCCGGGGCUUGUACACACCGCCCGUCACGUCACGAAAGUCGGUAACACCCAAAGUCAGUGGCCCAACCGCAAGGGGGG
This 480-nucleotide ribosomal RNA is filed under the name uncultured bacterium. RNAcentral's name for it is "bacterial SSU rRNA". It matches the Rfam family "Bacterial small subunit ribosomal RNA", at positions 968 to 1450 of the family's 1533-position model. The record is from RNAcentral.